RNAcentral lists this ribosomal RNA (493 nucleotides) under Branchiomma bairdi. Its description in RNAcentral is "partial 16S ribosomal RNA". It matches the Rfam family "Bacterial large subunit ribosomal RNA", at positions 1834 to 2610 of the family's 2925-position model. Lineage: Eukaryota; Metazoa; Annelida; Polychaeta; Sabellida; Sabellidae. The record is from RNAcentral.
UGGAUCAACCCAUCACAGGUAUCUUCUGCCCAGUGAAAUUUUAACGGCCACAGUACCCUGACUGUGCAAAGGUAGCAUAAUCAUUUGCCAUUUAAUUGAUGGCUAGAAUGAAUGAAAAUAUGAGGGAAACAUUUUAUUACUCUCCUAACUCAAAAUUAGUACCCAAGUGAAAAACCUUGGAUCCUCCUGAAAGACAAAAAGACCCUAAUGAAACUUAAAAAUCCACGCUUGUAAUAUUAAGCUCUCGUUUUUAGCUGGGACGGCUAAAGAGCAACUAAAACCUCUCUAGAAAACCUAAGACCUAAAGUCAUACAAAUGAUCCCUCUUCGACUCAUCAACAAAAAGUUAUCCAUAGGGAUAACAGGCUAAUUCUUCCCCAGAGCCCAAAUCAACGGAAGAGUUUGGCACCUCGAUGUUGGCUUAGGAAAACUUUAUGCUGCAGCAAGUAUAAAAGUUGGUUUGUUCAACCAUUAAACUCCUACGUGAUCUGAAG